CUCUGAGCAACAAGGCAAGCAACCAUUUUGAUCAUCCCGAUAAAUCCCAUGUUCUCGCUCCUGCACUUACUUAUUGCAUUAGGAUCAAAUGCUUCAAAUCCUUUUGCCACGUUAGUUGAACCCACUUCCUUUGCAUGACCUAUCCUUGUCACAGUAAAUAGCUGAACCUUGCAACCUAGCAUACCUGGUAGUUGCUUGAGCCAUGAUGUGCCUUAUCCUGCUAUGCAUGCUAUGCUUAGAGUUGUGUAUGGUCUGUCAU
This 259-nucleotide long non-coding RNA is filed under the name Hordeum vulgare. Its description in RNAcentral is "long non-coding RNA (HVUL_LNC011829)". The record is from RNAcentral. Lineage: Eukaryota; Viridiplantae; Streptophyta; Magnoliopsida; Poales; Poaceae.